GUUUGUUGCACCAGAAGUAGGUAGUCUAACCGCAAGGAGGACGCUUACCACGGUGUGGCAGAUGACUGGGGUGAAGUCGUAACAAGGUAGCCGUAGGGGAACCUGCGGCUGGAUCACCUCCUUA
RNAcentral lists this ribosomal RNA (124 nucleotides) under Acinetobacter johnsonii. Its description in RNAcentral is "partial 16S ribosomal RNA". It matches the Rfam family "Bacterial small subunit ribosomal RNA", at positions 1410 to 1533 of the family's 1533-position model. Lineage: Bacteria; Pseudomonadati; Pseudomonadota; Gammaproteobacteria; Moraxellales; Moraxellaceae. The record is from RNAcentral.